UGCCAUCAGCGAUGACUAACCAUGGAAAAAAGCAGGGUGAUGUUCUCAAAUUCCAAUCACCUUGUCUGUCUGCUUCAACUGAUGUGAACAGCUCUACCAUUCCUCUCUCAAAGAAGAAAAGGUUGAAUCAUGCUACAUAACAAUCAUUCUCUCUUAAUUCUAAAUAAGAGAACAUGACAUCCUACGUGCAUAUUUAGUUGUUGCUGUUUUCAACCUUACCAAAUUUUGAUAUUGCCAAAGUUUGGUAAGGCAACAAACUAAACACACUUCAACCAUUACUAUCUUAUUAAAUUUUGGCAGCUCUAGAAGCUUCUUUUCUUAAAACUCUACUAGAAUUUGGUAAAGACAUCAAACUAAACAAAGCCAACGCUACCGAAAUGUAGUAAUGCCAAAGUGUGCCAAAAUUUAGCAUGGAAGAUGGUGUACCUAAUUUGUUAGUCUGAACUGAAAUUCUAUUAUCGUACAGUUAAUUCUUCUAGGCAUCAAUGUUUAUUUUUUGGAUGUUUGCAUCAUAACCUGAGUACGGGCAGUUCCUGAUAUAUGGGACAAGACUCAAAAUAUCAGGUAAAUCAUCCUCAUAACACAGGAUUAUUGGACACCUCUAGAUAUAAUAAGCAGCAAAUCUCAAGGACACAGCCUUGAAGCAGCUUCAUCUCAGUAUUUCACUACACUACUACAGGCAUCGUGGUCAUGGCUGCUAUUCCAACUUCAACAUCUCCAGUCUGUUCUUUCCAUCAAGCUGUUGUGUGAAGAAUUGUGUCAUGAAAUCAAGGUAACUAAUUGAUCUGUAAUUCACUUUACCAUCUUUCACAAAUUCCGUCAGAGGUCUGAUCACCAUAUUCUCACACGGAUAGUGGAACAGUGAUGCUGAAAUCCGCUCCUUAUUUGGGUUUAUCACGGCCCUGUGCUCAACACUUCUGAACUUUCCGUUACUUAGGAUCUGUACAUAUCAAUAGCACAUCACUCACAUCAGUACAAAGGUGCAAGAGAGGUAGGCCAUCCAACAACAAUUUUCAGAAGCUUUUAGGUACGUUCUUUCUUCUUUGGUGCUUCCACAAGUUCUUUUUUUUAGAUAAUGGAAGCUUUUAUUGAACUCAUCCAGUUACAUCAAAGUUCUUUGACAAGUGAAAGCAUAAUUAGUUCUUGGUCGGUACCUCAAGUGUGUCGCCAAUGUUAACGAUGAAUGCACCAUUCGGAGCGUCUACGGAUAACCACUUGCCAUCUUUCUUGAUCUGCAGGCCCUGCACGUCGUUAACCUGGAGCAGCAGUGUUAGGCCAACCACAUCAGAGUGCGGCGAAAUGCCCAUCACCUUGUCAGAUUGCAGGCACGGUGGGUAGUAGGUCAUCCUUAAGCCUCGAGGCUGCUCUUCAAAUAUGCCUAAAAGAGCCUCUGGCUUAGCGCCCACAGCCUUAGCCAUGAACUCAAACAAGCAGAGUGCCAGGCUUUUAGUCUCUGAUGAGUAUGCAUCAAGGGAUCGCCUAUUUCCAGACAUCUCCAGUUAAGAAGAGACAGAUGCCUAUCAAAAGCUAAAUUACACAUUUUAUUUGGGUAGAUCACCUGAAAGAUGCAGGGGAAGUCGGCCAGAACCUCAAGUCCCUUGAAUCGCUAGGAUGGACUUGAAGAUACAGCAUGUCUGCCCAGUCAAGUUUCUGGUCCUCGGAGAAAAC
RNAcentral lists this long non-coding RNA (1668 nucleotides) under Oryza sativa (Asian cultivated rice). RNAcentral's name for it is "long non-coding RNA (OSAT_LNC001895)". The record is from RNAcentral. Lineage: Eukaryota; Viridiplantae; Streptophyta; Magnoliopsida; Poales; Poaceae.